Castor canadensis (American beaver) is the source of this 11164-nucleotide non-coding RNA. Lineage: Eukaryota; Metazoa; Chordata; Mammalia; Rodentia; Castoridae. The record is from RefSeq and is a predicted model, not a curated record.
CUGGCUGCCUCCAUGAAUAAGCCUGUGAAGGAGCAAAGCCCCAGGGAGCAUGUGACUGUACGUGACAUGACCUGCUGUGGGCUACCUCCCUGGGUUCAGAAAACAGAGUGGCUCUGUCUGAACUGCCAAACUAAGCGGCUUUUGGAGGGCGGCCUAGGAGAGCCAACCCCCCUGCCACUGCCCACCUCACAGCAGCCCCCUGCAGGGACCUCUCACCAUGCAGCUGGAAUAGCCUCCCUGAAGCAGAAAGGGCCACAGGGACUGGGCCAGCCAUCAGGCCCCCUCCCUGCCAAGACCAGUCCCCAGCCUACCAAGGCCAGCCCCCAGCCCACCAAGACCAGCCCCCAGACCAAGCCCCUCAGGGCUUCUGAACCCAGCAAGACCUCAAGCAGUGCCCAGGAAAAGAAGACAGGAAUUCCUUCUAAAGUUGAGCCUGUGCCAAAGCCCCCUUCAGAGACUACCCUGCCCCCUGGAACUUGUAAAGUAAAGAGUGGGGUGAGAAGGACUGAACCUGCCACACCUGUCAUCAAGGCUGUUCCAGAAGCCCCCAAGGGUGGGAAGGCUGAGGAACCAGUUGGCAAGCCUUACUCUCAGGACCUGUCUCGGAGUCCACAGAGUCUCAGCGACACAGGUUAUUCCUCCGACGGGGUCUCUAGCUCCCAGAGUGAGAUUACAGGUGUUGUGCAGCAGGAGGUGGAGCAGCUUGAUAAUGCAGGAGUGACGGGGCCACGCCCUCCUAGCCCCUCAGAACUCCACAAGGUGGGGAGCAGCAUGCAGCCUUUGCUGGAGACACAGGCUGUGGCUCCCAGUGGUGAGAGGAGCAAGCCACAUGGUGAGGAGCAAAAGCGGCGGCCCCACUCCUUGUCCAUCAUGCCUGAGGCCUUUGAUUCUGAUGAGGAACUGGGAGACAUAUUGGAAGAAGAGGAAGAGUCUCUAGAGUGGAGGCACCAGAAGGAACAGCAGGACGCAGCUGAGUCCUCAGAUGACUUUGGCAGCCAGCUGAGGCAUGACUAUGUGGAAGACAGCAGUGAAGGUGGCCUGUCCCCUCUUCCACCCCAGAUCCCAAUCCGGGCAGCAGAAAUUACUGAUGAAGAGUUCAUGCGAAGGCAGAUUCUAGAGAUGAGUGCUGAGGAAGACAACCUGGAGGAGGACAAUAUUGCCAUCUCCAGGCAUGGCCUGGCCAAGCAUGGCACCCAGAAGGGCAGCACAAGGCCUGGACCUGAAUCUAGCCAAGAACCAGUAGCACUGCCCAAGAGGCGCUUGCCCCACAAUGCUACCACGGGCUAUGAGGAGUUGCUCUCUGAGGGAGGCCCAGCAGAGGCCACUGAUGGCAGUGGAGCCCUGCAGGGUGGGCUCCGCCGCUUCAAGACCAUUGAGCUCAACAGCACAGGCAGCUACAGCCAUGAGCUAGACCUAGGCCAAGGCCCCGACACCAGCCUGGACCGGGAGCCUGAGCUGGAGAUGGAGAGCCUAACAGGCUCGCCUGAGGACCGCUCCCGUGGGGAGCACUCCUCCACACUGCCUGCCUCCACACCCAGCUACACGUCGGGCACCUCACCCACCUCCCUGUCUUCCCUAGAGGAGGACAGUGACAGUAGCCCAAGCCGCCGACAACGGCUAGAAGAAGCAAAACAGCAGCGCAAGGCCCGGCACCGCUCCCAUGGACCCUUGCUCCCCACCAUCGAGGACUCCUCAGAGGAAGAAGAGAUGCGAGAAGAAGAAGAGCUGCUGAGGGAGCAGGAGAAGAUGCGUGAGGUGGAACAGCAGCGUAUCCGUAGCACAGCCCGAAAGACCCGGCGUGACAAGGAAGAGCUGCGGGCCCAGCGGCGGCGUGAGCGCUCUAAGACACCACCCAGUAAUUUAUCACCCAUCGAGGACGCAUCACCCACAGAGGAGCUGAGGCAGGCAGCAGAGAUGGAGGAGCUACACCGCUCCUCCUGCUCUGAGUACUCACCCUCACCCUCCCUUGACUCAGAGGCUGAAGCUCUAGAUGGAGGUCCCACCCGGCUCUACAAGUCAGGCAGUGAAUACAACCUGCCCACCUUCAUGUCCCUCUACUCUCCAACUGAGAUGCCCUCAGGCAGCUCUGCCACUCCCAGUUCUGGACGGCCCCUCAAGAGCGCUGAGGAGGCCUAUGAGGAGAUGAUGAGAAAAGCUGAGCUGCUCCAGCGGCAACAGGGCCAGGUCUCAGGGGCCCAAGGGCCCCAUGGUGCCUCCUCUCAGCCCACAGGCCCCCAGGGCCAGGGCUCCUUUGAAUACCAAGACACCCCAGACCAUGACUAUGGCAGGGUUGCUCAAUCUGCCCCAGAGAGCACACCUGCUGGCCUGGGAGUAACCGUGUAUGAGGAGAUCCUUCAGACAUCACAGAGCAUAGCCCGCAUGCGGCAGGUCUCCUCACGAGACCUGGCCUUUACCGAGGACAAGAAAAAGGAGAAGCAGUUUCUGAAUGCCGAGAGUGCAUACAUGGACCCAAUGAAGCAAAAUGGUGGCCCACUCACCCCUGGUACCAGUCCCACCCAGCUAGCUGCCCCCGUGUCUUUCUCUACUUCCACCUCGUUAGACAGCAUUGGGGGCCGAGUAGUUCCUGAUGUCUGUGUCACUCAGCAUUUUGCAAAAGAGCAUCAGGACCCCCUCAAGCUGCAUAGCUCUCCUGCCUCCCCCAGCUUGGCUUCCAAGGAGGUAGGCGUGUCCUUCUCCCAGGGCCCUGGGACCCCAGUCACCACAUCUGGGGCUCCUUGUCCAGCAAGCCUGCCACGAGGGUAUAUGACUUUGACCUCCCCAACCUGCUCUGAGCGCAGUCCUUCACCAUCUUCCACAGUCCACAGCUAUGGACAGAGCCCAACCACCGCAAACUAUGGAUCCCAAACUGAGGAGAUACUCCAGGCUCCUGGUGGGCCUUCUGCAGGCAGACGGGCCACUAGAGAGAAGUCCCUGAGUGGGACUGACAGUGAGGCUGGCCCUUCCCAACCUUCCCGGGGAUAUUCUUACUUUGUAGGCUCCAGCCCACCUCUCUCCCCAUCUUCCCCCUCAGAGAGCCCCACAUUCUCCCCAGGUAAACUGGGUCCAAGGGCCACAGCAGAGUUCUCUACACAGACGCCAAGCCCAACCCCUGCCUUGGACAUGCCACGGAGUCCUGGUGCCCCCACCCCCACUCCCAUGGUAGCCCAAGGCACACAAACACCACACCGACCCAGCACACCUCGCCUUGUGUGGCAGCAGUCUUCUCAGGAGGCUCCCUUUAUGGUCAUUACAUUAGCAUCAGAUGCCUCCAGCCAGACCAGGAUGGUACAUGCCAGUGCCUCCACCUCCCCACUAUGCUCACCUACAGACACCCAAGCCACCACUCACAGCUACAGCCAAACAACACCUCCAAAUGUGUCUCAGAUGCCCCCAGAGCCACCUGGGCCACCUGGCUUCCCACGAGCACCCAGUGCUGGUGCAGAUGGGCCCCUGGCACUAUACGGCUGGGGUACUCUUCCUGCUGAAAACAUCUCCCUAUGCCGGAUCUCCUCUGUCCCUGGAACAUCUAGAGUUGAGCCAGGCCCCAGGCUCCCUGGCAGUGCAGUGGUAGACCUCCGCACAGCUGUCAAGCCCACGCCUAUCAUCCUCACUGACCAGGGUAUGGAUCUGACCUCUCUUGCUGUGGAAGCAAGGAAGUAUGGCCUUGCUCUGGAUCCAAUCCCAGGACGGCAGUCAACUGCUGUGCAACCUUUGGUUAUCAACCUUAAUGCCCAAGAGCAAACCCAUGCCUUCUUGGGUACUGCCACCACCGUGAGCAUCACCAUGGCCUCGUCUGUGCUCAUGGCUCAACAAAAGCAACCUGUGGUCUAUGGAGACCCCUUCCAGAGCCGGCUUGACUUUGGCCAGGGUUCAGGUAGCCCUGUGUGCCUGGCCCAGGUCAAGCAAGUAGAACAGGCCGUGCAGACUACCCCAUACCGAGGUGGGUCCCGAGGAAGACCCAGGGAAGCCAAGUUUUCCAGGUAUAAUCUGCCCAAUCAGGUAGCACCCCUGGCCAGAAGGGAUGUUUUGAUCACUCAGAUGGGCACCACCCAGAGUGUUAGCCUCAAGCCAGGACCAGUACCAGAACCUGGUGCCGAACUACACCGGGCCAUGCCUGCAGAGCUGCGGUCACAUGCUCUGCCAGGUUCCAGGAAGCCACACACAGUGGUGGUGCAGAUGGGAGAAGGCACAGCAGGCACUGUGACUACACUGCUCCCAGAGGAACCAGUGAGUGCCCUGGACCUCACUGGGGUGAGGCCUGAGAGCCAACUGGCAUGCUGUGACAUGGUCUACAAGUUUCCCUUUGGCAGUAGCUGCACUGGCACCUUCCACCCCACCCCCAGUGCACCUGAAAAGAGUGUAGCAGAUGCUGCCCCACCUGGCCAAAGCAGUGGCCCCUUCUAUAGUCCCCGGGACUCUGAGCCCCCUGAGCCCUCUACCUACCGUGCACAGGGGUUAGUAGGGCCUGCGCCUCAUGAAGAGCAGAGGCCCUAUCCACAGGGCCUACCUGGUAGACUGUACUCUUCCAUGUCUGACACCAAUUUGGCUGAGGCUGGCCUCAACUACCACGCCCACAGGAUUGGGCAGCUGUUCCAGGGUCCUGGACGAGACUCAGCUAUGGACCUCAGCUCACUAAAACACUCCUACAGCCUGGGCUUUGCAGAUGGACGUUAUCUAGGGCAAGGCUUACAAUAUGGCUCGUUUACAGACCUGCGUCAUCCCACAGAUCUUUUGACUCACCCACUUCCCAUGCGGCGCUAUAGCUCAGUGUCUAACAUCUACUCAGAUCACAGGUAUGGCCCACGGGGAGAUACAGUUGGCUUUCAGGAGGCCAGCCUGGCCCAGUACAGUGCCACCACUGCCCGAGAGAUCAGCCGCAUGUGUGCUGCCCUCAACUCCAUGGACCAGUAUGGAGGGCGGCAUGGCAGUGGUGGCAGUGGCCCUGACCUUGUGCAGUUCCAACCGCAGCAUGGGUCUGGGCUCAGUGUUCCACAGGGUCUGGCUCCCCUAAGACCUGGCCUCCUUGGCAACCCCACCUUCCCAGAGGGCCACCCGAGCCCUGGAAGCCUAGCCCAGUAUGUACCUGCAGCAGGCCAGGGAACAGCAGUCAGACAGCUGCUGCCAUCCACAGCCACUGUGCGUGCAGCUGAUGGCAUGAUCUACUCGACUAUCAACACUCCAAUUGCUGCAACCCUGCCCAUCACCACCCAACCUGCCUCAGUAUUGAGGCCCAUGGUGCGCAGUGGCAUGUAUAGGCCUUACUUAUCUGGUGGAGUUACAGCUGUGCCACUCACUAGCCUGACACGUGUGCCCAUGAUUGCCCCUCGGGUACCUCUUGGGCCCACAGGGCUAUACCGAUAUCCUGCACCAAGUAGAUUCCCCAUUGCUUCUAGUGUCCCACCUGCUGAGGGACCUGUCUACUUGGGAAAACCUGCUGCCGCCAAGGCCCCAGCAACAGGCGGCCCACCAAAACCAGAACUGCCAGCAGGGGCUGCACGGGAAGAACCUCUUUCCACAGCUGCCCCUGCUACCACCAAGGAGGCUGCAGUUGCCCCUACCCCUGCUCCACCCACUGGCCAGAAGCCACCAGGAGAUUCUGCAGCUGGGGGUGGCAGCCUCAGCCGGACUGGGCUCGAGAAGGAGGAAGCAUCUCAGGAGGAUCGUCAGCGGAAGCAACAGGAGCAGCUGCUACAACUGGAGCGGGAACGAGUAGAAUUGGAGAAGCUGCGACAACUGCGGCUGCAGGAGGAGCUGGAGCGGGAGAGGGUGGAGCUGCAGAGGCACCGUGAAGAAGAGCAGUUGCUGGUUCAGCGGGAGUUGCAGGAGCUGCAAACCAUUAAGCACCAUGUGCUGCAGCAGCAGCAAGAAGAACGCCAGGCUCAGUUUGCACUGCAGCGGGAGCAGCUGGCACAGCAGCGUCUGCAGCUGGAGCAGAUCCAGCAGCUGCAGCAGCAGUUGCAGCAGCAGCUAGAAGAACAGAAGCAGCGGCAAAAAGCACCCUUCCCUGCAGCCUGUGAGGCAGCUGGCCGAGGGCCUCCCUCAGCUGCUACUGAGCUGGCCCAGAAUGGCCAGUACUGGCCACCCCUGACUCACACAGCUUUCAUUGCUGUGGCAGGGACUGAGGGGCCUGGGCAGUCUCGUGAGCCUGUAGUGCACCGGGGGCUCCCCAGCUCUGCUUCAGACAUGUCUCUGCAGACUGAGGAGCAGUGGGAAGCAGGCCGCAGUGGCAUCAAGAAGCGACACUCCAUGCCACGCUUGAGGGAUGCCUGUGAAACAGAGUCAGGGCCUGAGCCCUGCAUGGUCAGGAGGAUUGCAGACAGCAGCGUGCAGACAGACGAUGAGGAUGGGGAAGGCCGCUACCUUCUGACCAGGAGACGCCGGACACGUCGGAGUACUGACUGCAGUGUGCAGACAGAUGAUGAGGACAAUGUUGAGUGGGAGCAACCUGUACGCCGCCGCAGGUCCCGUCUUUCCCGUCACUCAGACUCAGGUUCUGACAGCAAGCACGAUACCACUGCCUCAACAUCCACUGCCUCCACCACAGUAAGGGCCAUGAGCAGUGUGGGCAUUCAGACCAUCAGUGAUUGCUCUGUGCAGACAGAGCCUGACCAGCUGCCCAGGGUCUCUCCAGCCAUUCACAUCACGGCUGCCACUGACCCCAAGGUAGAGAUCAUCAGGUACAUCUCGGCGCCAGAGAAGACUGGGCAUGGGGAGAGCCUAGCCUGCCAGACAGAGCCAGAUGGGCAGGCCCAGGGUGUUGCUGGGCCACAGCUUGUAGGGCCAACUGCCAUCAGCCCCUACCUGCCUGGCAUCCAGAUCAUCACCCCAGGAUCCCUGGGCAGAUUUGAAAAAAAGAAGCCAGAUCCUUUGGAGAUUGGGUACCAGGCCCACCUGCCCCCAGAGUCCCUCUCACAGCUUGUAAGCCGCCAGCCUCCCAAGUCCCCCCAGGUCCUCUACUCACCAGUUUCACCCCUGUCCCCACAUCGGCUCCUGGACACCUCCUUUGCCUCCAGUGAGAGGCUGAACAAGGCUCACGUGAGUCCCCAGAAGCACUUCACGGCUGACAGCGCUUUCCGCCAGCAGACACUGCCUCGCCCCAUGAAGACCCUGCAGCGAUCCUUGUCUGACCCUAAACCCCUCAGCCCCACCGCCGAGGAAUCUGCCAAAGAGAGAUUCUCCCUCUACCAGCACCAGGGGGGACUGGGUAGCCAGGUGUCGGCGCUGCCACCCAACGGCCUGGCCCGCAAGGUGAAGCGGACACUGCCCAGCCCCCCUCCAGAGGAGGCUCACCUUCCCCUGGCUGGCCAGGCCCCCCCACAACUGUAUGCAGCAAGUCUGCUGCAGCGAGGGCUGGCGGGGCCCACCACCAUCCCUGCUACAAAAGCCAGCCUGCUCCGGGAGCUGGACCGGGACCUGCGGCUGGUGGAACAUGAGUCCACCAAGCUGCGCAAGAAGCAGGCAGAGCUGGAUGAGGAGGAAAAGGAGAUUGAUGCCAAGCUCAAGUACCUAGAACUGGGCAUCACCCAGCGCAAAGAGUCUUUGGCUAAAGACCGGGGUGGCCGUGACUACCCACCCUUACGUGGCCUUGGUGAACAUCGUGACUACUUGUCGGACAGUGAGCUCAACCAGCUGCGGCUCCAGGGCUGUACAACCCCUGCUGGCCAGUAUAUGGACUUUGCUGCCACUGCUGCUGCACCUGUCACCCCCUCUGCACCCACUGCCUUCCAGCAACCCCGGUUCACACCUCCGGCCCCACAGUACACUACAGGCAGUAGUGGGCCAACUCAGAAUGGAUUCCCAGCCCACCAGGCACCCACCUACCCUGGCCCCAGUACAUAUCCAGUACCUGCCUUUCCUCCCAGCACCAGUUACCCAACUGAGCCUAGCCUGCCAAACCAGCAGGCUUUCCGCCCCACAGGCCACUAUGCAGCCCAAACACCUAUGCCAACCACACAGAGCACCCUUUUUCCAGUUCCAGCUGACAGCCGUGCCCCUCACCAAAAGCCACGUCAGACCUCGCUAGCCGACUUGGAGCAGAAAGUACCCACCAACUAUGAGGUGAUUGCCACCCCCAUGGCGGCUAUAUCUUCAGCCCCUUCUGAAAGCAGCUACAGUGCCCCAGUAGUGAGCAGCAGCUAUGAGCAGGGCAAGGCCCCUGAGCUUCCCCGGACCAGUGACCGUAGCACUGUAAGCCAGAGCCCAGCCCCCACUUACCCCUCUGACUCCCACUAUACCAAUCUGGAGCAAAACGUUCCUAGAAACUAUGUGAUGAUCGAUGACAUCAGUGAGCUGACCAAGGACAGCACCCCCACUGCCCCUGAUAGCCAGCGGAUGGAGCCUUUAGGGCCAGGCAGCAGUGGGCGUCCUGGGAAGGAACCUGGAGAACCAGGGGUCCUUGAGGGGCCCACACUGCCCUGCUGCUAUGGCAGAGGGGAGGAAGAAUCUGAGGAGGACUCAUAUGAUCCCCGUGGGAAGGUUGGCCAUCACCGGAGCACGGAGAGCAAUGGGCGACCAACCAGCUCCCACUACUAUGGUGACAGUGACUAUAGACAUGGAGCUCGAACAGAGAAGUAUGGUCCAGGGCCCAUGGGACCCAAGCAUCCCUCCAAGAGCCUGGCCCCAGCUGCCAUCCCCUCAAAGCGCAGCAAGCACCGGAAGCAGGGCAUGGAGCAAAAGAUCUCCAAGUUCUCACCUAUUGAAGAGGCCAAGGAUGUAGAGUCAGACCUGGCCUCCUAUCCUCCACCUGCUGUCAGCAGCAGUGUGGCUUCUCGGGGCAGGAAGUUCCAAGAUGAAAUCACCUAUGGGCUCAAGAAGAAUGUGUAUGAGCAGCAGAGGUACUAUGGGGUAUCCAGCCGGGAUGCAGCAGAGGAGGAUGACCGCAUGUAUGGUGGGGGCAGUCGGUCCCGGGUGGCAUCUGCAUACAGUGGGGAGAAGCUAUCCAGCCAUGAUUUCAGUGGCCGAGGCAAGGGGUAUGAAUGGGAACGGGAGGCUGUAGAACGACUUCAAAAAACAGGCCCCAAGCCUUCAUCUCUGAGCAUGGCCCACAGCCGGGCACGGCCCCCCAUGCGGAGCCAGGCCUCUGAAGAGGAGAGCCCUGUCAGCCCCUUGGGGAGGCCCCGCCCCUCUGGGGGCACCAUCCCUCCUGGGGAUACCUGCCCACAGUUCUGCUCCAGCCACUCCAUGCCUGAUGUCCAGGAGCAUGUCAAGGAUGGACCACGGGCCCACACAUAUAAGCGUGAGGAGGGCUACAUCUUGGAUGAUUCCCACUGCGUGGUUUCUGACAGUGAAGCAUAUCACCUGGGUCAGGAGGAGACAGACUGGUUUGAUAAGCCCCGGGAUGCCCGCUCUGAUCGGUUCAGGCACCAUGGGGGCCACACAGUCUCCUCCUCCCAGAAGCGAGGCCCUGCCAGGCACAGCUACCAUGACUACGAUGAACCUCCUGAGGAGGGUCUGUGGCCUCAUGAUGAGGGUGGUUCAGGCCGCCAUGCCUCAGCCAAGGAACACCGGCACCACAGUGACCACGGGAGGCAUUCAGGUCGCCAUGCUGGUGAGGAACCUGGACGGCGUGCUGCCAAACCACAUGCUCGGGAUCUGGGUCGGCAUGAGGCCCGGCCCCACCCUCAGCCCAGCUCUGCCCCAGCCAUGUCAAAGAAGGGUCAGCCUGGAUACCCUGGCUCUGCUGAAUAUUUACAGCCAUCUCGUGCUCCUUCAGCAUACCAUCAUGCCUCUGACAGCAAGAAGGGCUCCCGACAGGCCCAUUCUGGGCCUGCUGCAUCUCAGCCAAAGCCAGAAUCCCAGGCACAGCCACAGCUGCAAGGCCGGCAGGCAGCUCCAGUACAACAGCAGUCCCAGCUACCACCAUCCAGGCAGAUACCCUCAGGGGCAGCAUCACGCCAGCCACAGACGCAACAGCAGCAGCAGCAGCAGCAGCAGCAACAGCAACAGCAAAGUUCUGGGCAGCAACUUCAGCAGGCUCCAUCACAGGCUCGACUUCAGCAGCAGAGCCAGCCAAGUACUCGGGGUUCAGUCCCUGCUGCCAGCCAGCCAGCAGGGAAGCCUCAGCCAGGUCCCAUGACAGCCCCAGGUCCCCAGCCAGCAGGACCGCCACGGGCAGAACAGGCAAAUGGCCUUAAAGGGACAGCCAAAGCACCCCAACAGGGGAGGGCUCCUCAGGCCCAGCCAACACCAGGACCUGGACCUUCAGGUAUGAAGGCUGGAUCCAGGCCUGGAGGGACACCAGGGGCUCCUGCUGGCCAGCCAGGUGCCGAAGGGGAGAGCAUGCUGUCCAAGAUCCUCCCUGGUGGGGCAGCAGAGCAAGCCGGCAAGCUGACUGAAGCUGUCUCUGCUUUUGGCAAAAAAUUUUCCUCAUUCUGGUGACCAUGCCCAGCAGGGCCCUUGAAGAUGUGAAGAGAGAUGGUAUCAUUGCUGUGGAAAAAUCUCUGGAGUUAAAGGCCUGGCACAGCUCUGGACUCUGCGUAUAACACAUCUACAAUCUGGCAAACCCUUGGCCCAAAGAUUCACACCAGGUGGACUGCAGUGGGCAGGCCUCAGUUGAGGAUGGGAUGUUUUCUUACAGUAGCUGCCUGGGUGAAGCAUCUGCUGGACAAAGUGGGACCACUGGCCCAGGGGAUCUUUGACUGUCUUUCCAGAGACCCUACCUUCUGCAGGCCAGCAGUCGUUGGAAUGAAGGAGCCCUCUCCAGAACCCUGCUUCCUCAGCUGCUGUUGUUCCCACAGCCACCUCUCUGCAGCCAGGCCAGCCAGGCUUCCAAUGCGUUAUACACAGAGUUUGGUUACACACUACCCUCCCUCUGAGAUGCCAGAAGUUUUUCCACAGCCUUGGAGAGGGGCUUUGACUGAGGGCUGGGGGCCCUGGGCUCCAUUUCCUUCACAUUCCAGCUGGCCCAGAUCCCUCUGUAGCCACAGGGUCCUGCCCCCUUCACCCUGCCCUCUGGGUGACAUUGAAGCAGACCUCUAUGUGGCCAGCAUGGGGUUGGGAGAACUUUAUAAACAUUAGGACCUAACACUGUCUCAUUGCUGAACUAAGAGGCCAUAGCACCGAAAAGCAGCGUGGGCACUGGCUGAGGCUUCUCCCAGCCCAUGGGUGGCAGUGUGCUAGGCACGCCAGCCAUCAUCUUAAAGCCAUCCCCUCAGCCAUCGUGAGC